This 446-nucleotide ribosomal RNA is filed under the name uncultured bacterium. RNAcentral describes it as "bacterial SSU rRNA". It matches the Rfam family "Bacterial small subunit ribosomal RNA", at positions 329 to 792 of the family's 1533-position model. The record is from RNAcentral.
UCCCAGACUCCUACGGGAGGCAGCAGUGGGGGAUAUUGCACAAUGGGGGGAACCCUGAUGCAGCGACGCCGCGUGGGUGAAGAAGCGCCUCGGCGCGUAAAGCCCUGUCAGCAGGGAAGAAAAUGACGGUACCUGAAGAAGAAGCAUCGGCUAACUCCGUGCCAGCAGCCGCGGUAAUACGGAGGAUGCGAGCGUUAUCCGGAUUUAUUGGGUUUAAAGGGUGCGCAGGCGGCCUGGUAAGUCAGCGGUAAAAGCCGGGGGGCCAACCGCCGGCGAGCCGUUGAAACUGGCGGGCUGGAGUUGGAGAGAAGUACGCGGAAUGCGCGGUGUAGCGGUGAAAUGCGUAGAUAUCGCGCAGAACCCCGAUUGCGAAGGCAGCGUACCGGCUCCACACUGACGCUGAGGCACGAAAGCGUGGGUAUCGAACAGGAUUAGAUACCCUCGUA